RNAcentral lists this ribosomal RNA (253 nucleotides) under uncultured bacterium. Its description in RNAcentral is "partial 16S ribosomal RNA". It matches the Rfam family "Bacterial small subunit ribosomal RNA", at positions 524 to 776 of the family's 1533-position model. The record is from RNAcentral.
UACAGAGGUCCCGAGCGUUGUUCGGAUUCAUUGGGCGUAAAGGGUGCGUAGGCGGCGGGGAAAGUCUGAUGUGAAAUCCUGGGGCUCAACCCUGGAACUGCAUUGGAUACUUCCUUGCUAGAGUACUGGAGAGGAAACUGGAAUUUACGGUGUAGCAGUGAAAUGCGUAGAGAUCGUAAGGAAGACCAGUGGCGAAGGCGGGUUGCUGGGCCGACACUGACGCUGAUGCGCGAAAGCCAGGGGAGCGAACGGG